RNAcentral lists this ribosomal RNA (184 nucleotides) under Tomentella cf. ellisii EN242(CORD). RNAcentral's name for it is "partial 28S ribosomal RNA". It matches the Rfam family "Eukaryotic large subunit ribosomal RNA", at positions 1 to 171 of the family's 3401-position model. Lineage: Eukaryota; Fungi; Basidiomycota; Agaricomycetes; Thelephorales; Thelephoraceae. The record is from RNAcentral.
UUUGAACGUUCGAUCUCAAAUCAGGUAGGACUACCCGCUGAACUUAAGCAUAUCAAUAAGCGGAGGAAAAGAAACUAACAAGGAUUCCCCUAGUAACUGCGAGUGAAGCGGGAAGAGCUCAAAUUUAAAAUCUGGCGUGCCUCCGGUCGUCCGAAUUGUAGUCUCGAGAAGUGUUUUCCGUGCU